RNAcentral lists this ribosomal RNA (301 nucleotides) under uncultured bacterium. RNAcentral describes it as "partial 16S ribosomal RNA". It matches the Rfam family "Bacterial small subunit ribosomal RNA", at positions 509 to 807 of the family's 1533-position model. The record is from RNAcentral.
CAGCCGCCGCGGGAAUACGAAGGGGGCUAGCGUUGCUCGGAAUGACUGGGCGUAAAGGGCGCGUAGGCGGCACAUACAGUCAGAAGUGAAAUUCCUGGGCUCAACCUGGGGACUGCUUUUGAUACGUGUAAGCUAGAGUGAGGAAGAGGGUUGUGGAAUUUCCAGUGUAGAGGUGAAAUUCGUAGAUAUUGGAAAGAACACCGGUGGCGAAGGCGGCAACCUGGUCCUUUACUGACGCUGAGGCGCGAAAGCGUGGGGAGCAAACAGGAUUAGAUACCCCCGUAGUCCCUGUCUCUUAUAC